This 429-nucleotide ribosomal RNA is filed under the name Chloroflexota bacterium. RNAcentral describes it as "Chloroflexi bacterium partial 16S ribosomal RNA". It matches the Rfam family "Bacterial small subunit ribosomal RNA", at positions 355 to 776 of the family's 1533-position model. The record is from RNAcentral. Lineage: Bacteria; Bacillati; Chloroflexota.
UGGGGAAUAUUGCACAAUGGGCGCAAGCCUGAUGCAGCCAUGCCGCGUGUGUGAAGAAGGCCUUCGGGUUGUAAAGCACUUUCAGCGGGGAGGAAGGCGAUAAGGUUAAUAACCUUGUCGAUUGACGUUACCCGCAGAAGAAGCACCGGCUAACUCCGUGCCAGCAGCCGCGGUAAUACGGAGGGUGCAAGCGUUAAUCGGAAUUACUGGGCGUAAAGCGCACGCAGGCGGUUGAUUGAGUCAGAUGUGAAAUCCCCGGGCUUAACCCGGGAAUUGCAUCUGAUACUGGUCAGCUAGAGUCUUGUAGAGGGGGGUAGAAUUCCAGGUGUAGCGGUGAAAUGCGUAGAGAUCUGGAGGAAUACCGGUGGCGAAGGCGGCCCCCUGGACGAAGACUGACGCUCAGGUGCGAAAGCGUGGGGAGCAAACAGG